This 99-nucleotide transfer RNA is filed under the name Colletotrichum lupini. RNAcentral describes it as "tRNA-Leu". It matches the Rfam family "tRNA". From Rfam's summary of the family: Transfer RNA (tRNA) molecules are approximately 80 nucleotides in length. Their secondary structure includes four short double-helical elements and three loops (D, anti-codon, and T loops). The record is from RNAcentral. Lineage: Eukaryota; Fungi; Ascomycota; Sordariomycetes; Glomerellales; Glomerellaceae.
GGAAGGGUGGCCGAGUUGGUUAUGGCGCCAGGUUAAGGUAAUCUUAACAUCUGUUUCCUGGUGGGGCAACCCGCGCGAGUUCGAGUCUCGUCCCUUUCA